GCGGCAGGCCUAACACAUGCAAGUCGAACGGCAGCACAGAAGAGCUUGCUCUUUGGGUGGCGAGUGGCGGACGGGUGAGUAAUGUCUGGGAAACUGCCCGAUGGAGGGGGAUAACUACUGGAAACGGUAGCUAAUACCGCAUAACGUCGCAAGACCAAAGUGGGGGACCUUCGGGCCUCACACCAUCGGAUGUGCCCAGAUGGGAUUAGCUAGUAGGUGGGGUAACGGCUCACCUAGGCGACGAUCCCUAGCUGGUCUGAGAGGAUGACCAGCCACACUGGAACUGAGACACGGUCCAGACUCCUACGGGAGGCAGCAGUGGGGAAUAUUGCACAAUGGGCGCAAGCCUGAUGCAGCCAUGCCGCGUGUAUGAAGAAGGCCUUCGGGUUGUAAAGUACUUUCAGCGGGGAGGAAGGCGAUGCGGUUUAAUAACCGGGUCGAUUGACGUUACCCGCAGAAGAAGCACCGGCUAACUCCGUGCCAGCAGCCGCGGUAAUACGGAGGGUGCAAGCGUUAAUCGGAAUUACUGGGCGUAAAGCGCACGCAGGCGGUCUGUCAAGUCGGAUGUGAAAUCCCCGGG
RNAcentral lists this ribosomal RNA (580 nucleotides) under Enterobacter sp. AaD41d. RNAcentral's name for it is "bacterial SSU rRNA". It matches the Rfam family "Bacterial small subunit ribosomal RNA", at positions 39 to 607 of the family's 1533-position model. Lineage: Bacteria; Pseudomonadati; Pseudomonadota; Gammaproteobacteria; Enterobacterales; Enterobacteriaceae. The record is from RNAcentral.